GUGAGGAAUAUUGGUCAAUGGGCGAGAGCCUGAACCAGCCAAGUAGCGUGAGGGAUGACUGCCCUAUGGGUUGUAAACCUCUUUUGCAGGGGGGUAAAGUGGUUCACGUGUGGACCAUUGCAAGUACCCUGCGAAUAAGGAUCGGCUAACUCCGUGCCAGCAGCCGCGGUAAUACGGAGGAUCCGAGCGUUAUCCGGAUUUAUUGGGUUUAAAGGGUGCGUAGGCGGGGGUUUAAGUCAGCUGUGAAAUGCCGUGGCCCAACCAUGGAACUGCAGUUGAAACUUGACCUCUUGAGAGGACAUAAGGAAGGCGGAAUUCGUGGUGUAGCGGUGAAAUGCAUAGAUAUCACGAAGAACUCCGAUUGCGAAGGCAGCUUUCCGGGGUACAUCUGACGCUGAAGCUCGAAAGUGCGGGAAUCAAACAGGAUUAGAAACCCUAGUAGUCC
Molecule: ribosomal RNA, 445 nt
Filed under: uncultured bacterium
Lineage: Bacteria
Description: partial 16S ribosomal RNA
Rfam family: Bacterial small subunit ribosomal RNA
Source: RNAcentral